Molecule: ribosomal RNA, 612 nt
Filed under: Triticum aestivum (bread wheat)
Lineage: Eukaryota; Viridiplantae; Streptophyta; Magnoliopsida; Poales; Poaceae
Description: partial small subunit ribosomal RNA
Source: RNAcentral
AUGAUGUGGUGUUUUAUGAUCCUGAUAUCUCACUGGAGAUGCGUAAGUUUGAACAGCAUCGUUACCUACGUUAAUGGAUACGCAAUAAGGGGCAGUUGCUUGGAUGGAUACGAAGGCAAUCCUUACAUGGGCGGAUGCCAAGGUAUCACUGCUAUACCACUCAUCUCCCCCAAUUUUCCAUCCAGUGGCUUGACAGUUCUUGCUGUAUCUAAUAUCCAGGUGCACGCUUCUGGAGAGUGUCCGUUGUUGCGUGAGCUGAUGCCGGGAGUCACCAUCUACGGAGUAUGCUGCUUCGAACUGAUGUUCUCUGAGUCCCCUAGUGCGGUGGCGGUCCCGGAGAUGCCGCAUACUGCAACCACGGGGGUGGUCAAAGUGACAAAAGGCGACUUGCCGGAGGCACAGAUCUUGCAAAGGUUGAAUGAGCUAGCUCUAUGGAACUUUCAUUGGGAACUUAUUAGACUCGAAACUAACAUGUAUAAGGUGGACUUUCCAUCAACAGAGGACCUGAAGAAGCUCCUGAGGUUUGGUAUGUGUAGGGUGCCUGGCACAGAGUGUAUUCUUGAGUUUGAUGAGUGGAAGCAAGUUGAGCCAAAGGGUACACCAUUACCUUAG